RNAcentral lists this ribosomal RNA (1001 nucleotides) under uncultured bacterium. RNAcentral's name for it is "bacterial SSU rRNA". It matches the Rfam family "Bacterial small subunit ribosomal RNA", at positions 37 to 1033 of the family's 1533-position model. The record is from RNAcentral.
UGGCGGCGUGCUUAACACAUGCAAGUCGAACGGAGAGCGUAUGACAGAGGAUUCGUCCAAUGGAUUACGUUUCUUAGUGGCGGACGGGCGAGUAACGCGUGAGGAACCUGCCUUGGAGUGGGGAAUAACACAGUGAAAAUUGUGCUAAUACCGCAUGAAGCAGUUGGGUCGCAUGGCUCUGACUGCCAAAGAUUUAUCGCUCUGAGAUGGCCCCGCGUCUGAUUAGCUAGUUGGUGGGGCAACGGCCCACCAAGGCGACGAUCAGUAGCCGGACUGAGAGGUUGGCCGGCCACAUUGGGACUGAGAUACGGCCCAGACUCCUACGGGAGGCAGCAGUGGGGAAUAUUGGGCAAUGGGCGCAAGCCUGACCCAGCAACGCCGCGUGAAGGAAGAAGGCCCUCGGGUUGUAAACUUCUUUUGUCAGGGACGAAGCAAGUGACGGUACCUGACGAAUAAGCCACGGCUAACUACGUGCCAGCAGCCGCGGUAAUACGUAGGUGGCAAGCGUUAUCCGGAUUUACUGGGUGUAAAGGGCGUGUAGGCGGGAUGGCAAGUCAGAUGUGAAACCCAUGGGCUCAACCCAUGGCCUGCAUUUGAAACUGUCGUUCUUGAGUACUGGAGAGGCAGACGGAAUUCCUAGUGUAGCGGUGAAAUGCGUAGAUAUUAGGAGGAACACCAGUGGCGAAGGCGGUCUGCUGGACAGCAACUGACGCUGAGGCGCGAAAGCGUGGGGAGCAAACAGGAUUAGAUACCCUGGUAGUCCACGCUGUAAACGAUGGAUACUAGGUGUGGGGGGACUGACCCCCUCCGUGCCGCAGUUAACACAAUAAGUAUCCCACCUGGGGAGUACGAUCGCAAGGUUGAAACUCAAAGGAAUUGACGGGGGCCAGCACAAGCGGUGGAGUAUGUGGUUUAAUUCGAAGCAACGCGAAGAACCUUACCAGGGCUUGACAUCCCGGCGACCGGACUAGAGAUAGUCUUUUCCCUUCGGGGACGCCGGU